Molecule: ribosomal RNA, 253 nt
Filed under: uncultured bacterium
Lineage: Bacteria
Description: partial 16S ribosomal RNA
Rfam family: Bacterial small subunit ribosomal RNA
Source: RNAcentral
UACGAAGGGUGCAAGCGUUAAUCGGAUUUAUUGGGCGUAAAGGGCGUCUAGGCGGAUAAGAAAGUCAAAUGUGAAAUCCCAAGGCUUAACCUUGGAACGGCAUUUGAAACUCCUUGUCUAGAGGGUAGACGGAGAAAGUGGAAUUCCACAUGUAGCGGUAAAAUGCGUAGAUAUGUGGAAGAAUACCGGUGGCGAAGGCGACUUUCUAGUUUAUUCCUGACGCUGAAGCGCGAAAGCAAGGGUAGCAAACAGG